This 1888-nucleotide ribosomal RNA is filed under the name Echiniscoides sigismundi. Its description in RNAcentral is "SSU rRNA". It matches the Rfam family "Eukaryotic small subunit ribosomal RNA". Lineage: Eukaryota; Metazoa; Tardigrada; Heterotardigrada; Echiniscoidea; Echiniscoididae. The record is from RNAcentral.
AAAGAUUAAGCCAUGCAUGUCUAAGUACUUGCCGAACUAAGGCGAAACCGCGAAUGGCUCAUUAAAUCAGUUUUGGUUCACCCGACAGUACCAGUACAUGGAUAACUGUGGUAAUUCUAGAGCUAAUACAUGCAGCAAGCCCUAAUUGCUUCGGCGAGAAGGGCGCAGUUAUUAGAUCAAAAACCAAUCGACCUUAACGGGUCGUUUUAUUGGUGAAUCUGAGUAACCAUAGCAAACCGCAUGGCCUUGAGCCGGCGGUCUGUCGGUCAAGCAACUGCCUUAUCAGCUUGUCGUUAGGUUAUAUGCCUAACGAGGCGUCAACGGGUAACGAACGAUCGGGGUCGGACAUCGGAGAGGGAGCCUGAGAAACGGCUACCACUUCCAAGGAAGGCAGCAGGCGCGCAAAUUACCCACUCCCGGCACGGGGAGGUAGUGACGAGAUGUAUUGAUGCCGGCCUAUUAUGGUUCGUAAUCAAAAUGAGUACACUUUAAAUCCUUUAACGAGGACCUAUUGGAGGGCAAGUCUGGUGCCAGCAGCCGCGGUAAUUCCAGCUCCAAUAGCGUAUAUUAAUGCUGCUGCGGUUAAAACAUUCGUAGCUGGAUCUGGGUUGCCGGCGGGCACUUUGCAUUGAUUUAUAUUAGUGUAUUAGUUGCUAGUACGGUGCUUUAUGUACCUAGCCAUCGCUGUUUUCUUAUGAUUAUAGUGUAUGGUCGCCGGCACCACCUGCCGAACCGUGUCUCAUAUUCUUCAUUGAGUGUGUGAUGCGUUCGGUGCUUUUACCUUGAAAAAAUUAGAGUGCUCAAAGCAGGCGUAUAGUCGCGUUUAGCGGCUUGAAUAUUGAUGCAUGGAAUAAUGGAAUAGGACCUCGGUUCUAUUUUGUUGGUUUUCAGGACUCGAGGUAAUGAUUAAGAGGGACAGACGGAGGCAUUCGUAUUGCAACGUUAGAGGUGAAAUUCUUGGAUCGUUGCAAGACGAACUAAUGCGAAGGCAUUCGCCUAGAAUGUUUUCAUUGAUCAAGAACGAAAGUUAGAGGUUCGAAGGCGAUCAGAUACCGCCCUAGUUCUAACCAUAAACGAUGCCAACUAGCGAUCCGUCAAUCUUUAAUAUUAUUGAGUUGACGGGCAGCUUCCGGGAAACCAAAGUCUUCGGGUUCCGGGGGAAGUAUGGUUGCAAAGCUGAAACUUAAAGGAAUUGACGGAAGGGCACCACCAGGAGUGGAGCCUGCGGCUUAAUUUGACUCAACACGGGGAAACUUACCCGGGCCGGACACUGUAAGGAUUGACAGAUUGAUAGCUCUUUCUUGAUUCGGUGGAUGGUGGUGCAUGGCCGUUCUUAGUUGGUGGAGUGAUUUGUCUGGUUAAUUCCGAUAACGAACGAGACUCUAGCCUACUAAAUAGACCACUGAUUGUAUCUCCAGUGUGUGAAGCUUUUAGUGGAGCAUACUUGGGGAAUCUAAACGUCAGUUGGUAUACUUCUUAGAGGGACAGGCGGAAUACAAGCCGCACGAGAUUGAGCAAUAACAGGUCUGUGAUGCCCUUAGAUGUCCGGGGCCGCACGCGCGCUACACUGAAGAGAUCAGCGUGUUUAUUGACCACUUGUUGGUAUCCUGGGCCGAAAGGUUUGGGCAAUCCGCUGAAACUUCUUCGUGAUUGGGAUUGAGCUUUGUAAUUAUCGCUCAUGAACGAGGAAUUCCCAGUAAGCGCGAGUCAUCAGCUCGCGUUGAUUACGUCCCUGCCCUUUGUACACACCGCCCGUCGCUACUACCGAUUGGAUAAUCUAGUGAGGCCUUUGGACCGGCUGAUCGCGCUUGUUUCGGCNNNNNNNNNNNNNNNNGAAGAAGUCCAAACUAGCUUAUCUAGAGGAAGUAAAAGUCGUAACAAGGUUUCC